AAACUUUCAACAACGGAUCUCUUGGCUCUGGCAUCGAUGAAGAACGCAGCGAAAUGCGAUAAGUAAUGUGAAUUGCAGAAUUUAGUGAAUCAUCGAAUCUUUGAACGCACAUUGCGCCCCUUGGUAUUCCGAGGGGCAUGCCUGUUCGAGCGUCGUCA
Molecule: ribosomal RNA, 158 nt
Filed under: Golovinomyces orontii
Lineage: Eukaryota; Fungi; Ascomycota; Leotiomycetes; Helotiales; Erysiphaceae
Description: 5.8S ribosomal RNA
Rfam family: 5.8S ribosomal RNA
About the family: 5.8S ribosomal RNA (5.8S rRNA) is a component of the large subunit of the eukaryotic ribosome. It is transcribed by RNA polymerase I as part of the 45S precursor that also contains 18S and 28S rRNA. Functionally, it is thought that 5.8S rRNA may be involved in ribosome translocation.
Source: RNAcentral